Molecule: ribosomal RNA, 433 nt
Filed under: uncultured bacterium
Lineage: Bacteria
Description: partial 16S ribosomal RNA
Rfam family: Bacterial small subunit ribosomal RNA
Source: RNAcentral
AACGAACGCUGGCGGCAUGCCUAACACAUGCAAGUCGAACGUGACCUUCGGGUCUAGUGGCGCACGGGUGCGUAACGCGUGGGAAUCUGCCCUUGGGUUCGGAAUAACAGUUGGAAACGACUGCUAAUACCGGAUGAUGACGUAAGUCCAAAGAUUUAUCGCCCAAGGAUGAGCCCGCGUAGGAUUAGCUAGUUGGUGAGGUAAAGGCUCACCAAGGCGACGAUCCUUAGCUGGUCUGAGAGGAUGAUCAGCCACACUGGGACUGAGACACGGCCCAGACUCCUACGGGAGGCAGCAGUGGGGAAUAUUGGACAAUGGGCGAAAGCCUGAUCCAGCAAUGCCGCGUGAGUGAUGAAGGCCUUAGGGUUGUAAAGCUCUUUUACCCGGGAUGAUAAUGACAGUACCGGGAGAAUAAGCUCCGGCUAACUCCGUG